AUCCAAAGGGGAAAUUCAUUCGCGUUUCGGCUGCAGGCGGUUAGCGGGUGCGUGACGAAAGGCGUUCGCGUCGUUCGCGCCACUCGUUUUCCGACGUGCAUCGAACGUGUGCACUUUUCCCCUAGUAGGACGUCGCGAUCCGUUGGGCGUCGGUCUAAGGCUCGAGGUGGAGCCCGCGCGGUCGCUUCGGCGUGUCGCGCGGACCCUCGAUGUUCUGGCCGACUUGCUCGACGGUAUAACGAAGGCGCGAGGCCGCUACUCAGUUAGCGUUCGGCUCGCGGCAAGCGCGUUCGGUGUUUGACGGCGAUCGGACCUGGUGCCGAUUCUGUCCCCGGACGACUGUUGGCCGCGAUGUUCUCGAACAGACCUCGAUCUUGAAACGCCGAUCUGCGACGCUAUAGCUUUGGGUACUUUCAGGACCCGUCUUGAAACACGGACCAAGGAGUCUAGCAUGUGCGCGAGUCAUUGGGACACGACUAAACCUAAAGGCGUAAUGAAAGUAAAGGUCCGCCUUGCGCGGACCGAGGGAGGAUGGGCGGUUUGCCCUCAAAGUGGCCGCUCCGCACUCCCGGGGCGUCUCGUUCUCAUCGCGAGAAGAGGCGCACCAAGAGCGUACACGCUGGGACCCGAAAGAUGGUGAACUAUGCCUGGUCAGGACGAAGUCAGGGGAAACCCUGAUGGAGGUCCGUAGCGAUUGUGACGUGCAAAUCGAUCGUCGGAUUKAGUU
Molecule: ribosomal RNA, 727 nt
Filed under: Gastrophysa cyanea
Lineage: Eukaryota; Metazoa; Arthropoda; Insecta; Coleoptera; Chrysomelidae
Description: eukaryotic LSU rRNA
Rfam family: Eukaryotic large subunit ribosomal RNA
Source: RNAcentral